This 402-nucleotide ribosomal RNA is filed under the name uncultured prokaryote. RNAcentral describes it as "bacterial SSU rRNA". It matches the Rfam family "Bacterial small subunit ribosomal RNA", at positions 355 to 774 of the family's 1533-position model. The record is from RNAcentral.
UGGGGGAUAUUGCACAAUGGAGGAAACUCUGAUGCAGCAACGCCGCGUGAGGGAAGACGGUUUUCGGAUUGUAAACCUCUGUCUUCAGGGAAGAUUAUGACGGUACCUGAAGAGGAAGCUCCGGCUAACUACGUGCCAGCAGCCGCGGUAAUACGUAGGGAGCAAGCGUUGUCCGGAUUUACUGGGUGUAAAGGGUGCGUAGGCGGCUUAUCAAGUCAGGCGUGAAAACUAUGGGCUUAACCCAUAGACUGCGUUUGAAACUGAUGAGCUUGAGUGAAGUAGAGGUAGGCGGAAUUCCCGGUGUAGCGGUGAAAUGCGUAGAGAUCGGGAGGAACACCAGUGGCGAAGGCGGCCUACUGGGCUUUAACUGACGCUGAGGCACGAAAGCAUGGGUAGCAAACA